AUGGAUGACCAUCGGAAGGUAUGCAGGUUUCUUCCCAAACUUAACGACAAGAUACUAGGUGAAAGAAAUGCUCUCUACAAGGAAAGGUUGGGCAGCCUAGAGAAUUUAGCACUGAUCAUGGUAAGAGGUGAUCGAUGCAGACUACUGCGACCGGUGGGCGUCGUGCUCUUCAACAACUCGGGGGCGGACUUUGUUGUGAAGCCCGGCGACCGCGUCACACAGAUGAUUGUCCAGGUGAUUGCGAUGCCGGAGGUCACCGAGGUGGAGGACCUUGACAUCACCGUCCGGAGGUCGUCGAGGUGGAGGACCUCGACGCACCGUCUCGAGGUUGCCGAGGUGGAGGACCUCGACGCCACCAUCUCGAGGUUGCCGAGUAUCGGCUUUGUUAGCCACAAAAGCCACACCAGAACUGGGCAGAACCGUGGAGCCUUUAUUCCAGACAACAUCGUCUUUAUCGUCGAGAUAUCAUUGCCAAAGCGCCAAAGACACAAACUUGUGAAACUAAGACUUCAACUUGAUCAUUGGUUCCCCUUGUCUUCUGGUGCCAGAGACAACCAUAGAUGA
Molecule: ribosomal RNA, 564 nt
Filed under: Triticum aestivum (bread wheat)
Lineage: Eukaryota; Viridiplantae; Streptophyta; Magnoliopsida; Poales; Poaceae
Description: partial small subunit ribosomal RNA
Source: RNAcentral